GGUAUCAGAAGUGCGAAUGCUGACAUAAGUAACGAUAAAGCGGGUGAAAAGCCCGCUCGCCGGAAGACCAAGGGUUCCUGUCCAACGUUAAUCGGGGCAGGGUGAGUCGACCCCUAAGGCGAGGCCGAAAGGCGUAGUCGAUGGGAAACGGGUUAAUAUUCCCGUACUUGGUGUUACUGCGAAGGGGGGACGGAGAAGGCUAUGUUGGCCGGGCGACGGUUGUCCCGGUUUAAGCGUGUAGGUGUGUGUUCCAGGUAAAUCCGGUUCACUUUAACACUGAGGCGUGACGACGAGGCACUACGGUGCUGAAGCAACAAAUGCCCUGCUUCCAGGAAAAGCCUCUAAGCAUCAGGUAACAUCAAAUCGUACCCCAAACCGACACAGGUGGUCAGGUAGAGAAUACCAAGGCGCUUGAGAGAACUCGGGUGAAGGAACUAGGCAAAAUGGUGCCGUAACUUCGGGAGAAGGCACGCUGACAUGUAGGUGAAGUGAUUUACUCAUGGAGCUGAAGUCAGUCGAAGAUACCAGCUGGCUGCAACUGUUUAUUAAAAACACAGCACUGUGCAAACACGAAAGUGGACGUAUACGGUGUGACGCCUGCCCGGUGCCGGAAGGUUAAUUGAUGGGGUCAGCGCAAGCGAAGCUCCUGAUCGAAGCCCCGGUAAACGGCGGCCGUAACUAUAACGGUCCUAAGGUAGCGAAAUUCCUUGUCGGGUAAGUUCCGACCUGCACGAAUGGCGUAAUGAUGGCCAGGCUGUCUCCACCCGAGACUCAGUGAAAUUGAACUCGCUGUGAAGAUGCAGUGUACCCGCGGCAAGACGGAAAGACCCCGUGAACCUUUACUAUAGCUUGACACUGAACAUUGAGCCUUGAUGUGUAGGAUAGGUGGGAGGCUUUGAAGCGUGGACGCCAGUCUGCGUGGAGCCGACCUUGAAAUACCACCCUUUAAUGUUUGAUGUUCUAACGUGGACCCGUAAUCCGGGUUGCGGACAGUGUCUGGUGGGUAGUUUGACUGGGGCGGUCUCCUCCUAAAGAGUAACGGAGGAGCACGAAGGUUGGCUAAUCCUGGUCGGACAUCAGGAGGUUAGUGCAAUGGCAUAAGCCAGCUUGACUGCGAGCGUGACGGCGCGAGCAGGUGCGAAAGCAGGUCAUAGUGAUCCGGUGGUUCUGAAUGGAAGGGCCAUCGCUCAACGGAUAAAAGGUACUCCGGGGAUAACAGGCUGAUACCGCCCAAGAGUUCAUAUCGACGGCGGUGUUUGGCACCUCGAUGUCGGCUCAUCACAUCCUGGGGCUGAAGUAGGUCCCAAGGGUAUGGCUGUUCGCCAUUUAAAGUGGUACGCGAGCUGGGUUUAGAACGUCGUGAGACAGUUCGGUCCCUAUCUGCCGUGGGCGCUGGAGAACUGAGGGGGGCUGCUCCUAGUACGAGAGGACCGGAGUGGACGCAUCACUGGUGUUCGGGUUGUCAUGCCAAUGGCACUGCCCGGUAGCUAAAUGCGGAAGAGAUAAGUGCUGAAAGCAUCUAAGCACGAAACUUGCCCCGAGAUGAGUUCU
This 1551-nucleotide ribosomal RNA is filed under the name Salmonella enterica subsp. enterica serovar Haifa. RNAcentral's name for it is "bacterial LSU rRNA". It matches the Rfam family "Bacterial large subunit ribosomal RNA", at positions 1278 to 2812 of the family's 2925-position model. The record is from RNAcentral. Lineage: Bacteria; Pseudomonadati; Pseudomonadota; Gammaproteobacteria; Enterobacterales; Enterobacteriaceae.